AUCCAGCCGACGAGUCCCAAAAAUAGGACGAAACGUGUCUUCUGGAU
This 47-nucleotide non-coding RNA is filed under the name Schistosoma mansoni. The record is from RNAcentral. Lineage: Eukaryota; Metazoa; Platyhelminthes; Trematoda; Strigeidida; Schistosomatidae.